This 400-nucleotide ribosomal RNA is filed under the name uncultured Enterobacterales bacterium. Its description in RNAcentral is "bacterial SSU rRNA". It matches the Rfam family "Bacterial small subunit ribosomal RNA", at positions 975 to 1375 of the family's 1533-position model. The record is from RNAcentral. Lineage: Bacteria; Pseudomonadati; Pseudomonadota; Gammaproteobacteria; Enterobacterales.
CUACUCUUGACAUCCAGAGAACUUUCCAGAGAUGGAUUGGUGCCUUCGGGAACUCUGAGACAGGUGCUGCAUGGCUGUCGUCAGCUCGUGUUGUGAAAUGUUGGGUUAAGUCCCGCAACGAGCGCAACCCUUAUCCUUUGUUGCCAGCGGUUAGGCCGGGAACUCAAAGGAGACUGCCAGUGAUAAACUGGAGGAAGGUGGGGAUGACGUCAAGUCAUCAUGGCCCUUACGAGUAGGGCUACACACGUGCUACAAUGGCGCAUACAAAGAGAAGCGACCUCGCGAGAGCAAGCGGACCUCAUAAAGUGCGUCGUAGUCCGGAUUGGAGUCUGCAACUCGACUCCAUGAAGUCGGAAUCGCUAGUAAUCGUAGAUCAGAAUGCUGCGGUGAAUACGUUCCC